This 1192-nucleotide long non-coding RNA is filed under the name Olea europaea subsp. europaea. The record is from RNAcentral. Lineage: Eukaryota; Viridiplantae; Streptophyta; Magnoliopsida; Lamiales; Oleaceae.
GUUAAAAUCAGAUUUGAAGGCGAGAUUCACCUAGCUAAUCAUAGUAAACCAGAUGUUGGCUUGAUUGUGUAUAGUUCUGUAGGAAAUGUUGAUAAAUUUUAUAAGAUACUGAAUCAAAUAUCUUAUGCUGAAACCACAUUUAAAAUGCUAAAAGAUAACUUGAUAAAAGUAAUUUUAUAUUGAAAGAUAUCACAUUUAAAAUGCUAAAAGAUAACUUGAAAAAAAGUAACUUUAUAUAGAAAGAUGGAUAUUUGUAUAUGGUCAAUGAUUUUAGACGUCAUGGGAAUUCAAUGUUCAAGUUUCUUGCAGGCGAUGGCUGAUUCUGCACGACCUGCUUACAUUUUAGAGACGAGGAAAACUGCUCCAGGUUUACGUUUGGUGGAUAAAUGGGCAGUGUAGAUCACUAACUUCACUCAAUAUUUUAAUAUCUCCAUUUCCCCACUUUUCUGAUGGUCUAUGAUUUUUUCCCAAUUAUUUUUACAGGUCUUAAUAGGUGAAGGUCAGAAUCACAGAUCGAGUUUAUUCUAUGUGUUCAAGAUUAAAGACAAUUAUAUAUUAAUUGCUGGAGCUAUCUCAAAUGCCCUGAAAUCUGUCGACCUCUAUUUGGAGCAAAAUAAUCUUAAAAUGGGUGUUGAGGCAGAGUAUUAACAUUUUAGGUUUAAUUAUUCUAGUUCUUAGACUGAAAAUUCAAAACUUCUUACUUCAUAAAUUAUGUGGAUCGUCAACAUUCUAAUAUCUUGAUUUAGCCUGCCUAAAUAUAAAUGUUGUUUAAUCGCUCCUAAUUAACUCCAAGUAUAUAACUUUGGGGAAAGUUCUCUGUCUUUGCACAUAUGCCAUUUUUUAUUGUCACGUGUGAUCCAAUACUGCGAAUGUGCAAUUGCAUCAGUGUGACUGGAUACGCUUUGUGUAUUUGUUACUCAAUUUAUUUAAUUCUUUUCUCUUCACAAUUAUUGAAACAUUGGCUUCGGUACACAGUCAAACUGUUAAUUCUUUUGACCAAUAUAUUAUGUUCAUAUGAUAAGUUAUUACUUAGUUUGGUAUUCAUUAAAGUUAGAUGAAAAAUUUAUUUAAAUUAUAUGCAAUAGCUUUACUGGUCAACAAUAGGAUGUUACAGAAAAUAUGAAGGUCAUAUUUUUUAUCCAUGGGGAGUGGAGAUGGUUUGAAUCGAUCACAUUGGGACGUUACAAGGAUG